This is a long non-coding RNA of Hibiscus syriacus, 215 nucleotides long. RefSeq lists it as uncharacterized. The transcript has 3 exons. The record is from RefSeq and is a predicted model, not a curated record. Lineage: Eukaryota; Viridiplantae; Streptophyta; Magnoliopsida; Malvales; Malvaceae.
CGUGGAGAGGAGAAUAAAAAUUAGAAGACUCUGGAGAUGCUUGGCUUUCUUCUUCCUUUCUUCCCGUAGCUCCAUUGGUAAGAUAUCGAGCACGAACAAGUUCCGGGACGACUAUCAGGUUAAAAUUUGAUCGAAAGAAAUCAUAAAAUGGGAUUGGAACUUAGUGAGGCCAAGGUUACAGAAGCGAGAAGAAAAGCGAAGAAGAGCAAGACAGG